GCCUGGGUGGCUCAGUCGGUUGAGCGUCCGACUUCGGCUCAGGUCAUGAUCUCACAGCUCGUGGGUUCGAGCCCCGCGUCGGGCU
This 85-nucleotide transfer RNA is filed under the name Felis catus (domestic cat). It matches the Rfam family "tRNA". From Rfam's summary of the family: Transfer RNA (tRNA) molecules are approximately 80 nucleotides in length. Their secondary structure includes four short double-helical elements and three loops (D, anti-codon, and T loops). Further hydrogen bonds mediate the characteristic L-shaped molecular structure. tRNAs have two regions of fundamental functional importance: the anti-codon, which is responsible for specific mRNA codon recognition, and the 3' end, to which the tRNAs corresponding amino acid is attached (by aminoacyl-tRNA synthetases). tRNAs cope with the degeneracy of the genetic code in two manners: having more than one tRNA (with a specific anti-codon) for a particular amino acid; and 'wobble' base-pairing, i.e. permitting non-standard base-pairing at the 3rd anti-codon position. RNAcentral also lists the same sequence under 3 other names. The record is from Rfam by way of RNAcentral. Lineage: Eukaryota; Metazoa; Chordata; Mammalia; Carnivora; Felidae.